UUUGGCAUCAAUUGUCUUGAGAUUUCAUUGACAGGAUGUAUGGAUGAACCGAUAAUUGAAUAGAGAAACUCAUCAAGAUUCGACCUUUUUAUCUCUCAAGCUGUCAAGCAGAAUUGAGUAAACUGCUUAUUCAAUCAGAUAAAAUAAAUUAUCAAGUAGGACAUUAAACCAUACUUACUGGGUAAUCAGGUUGAUGUUUGAGGAUGUGCGUGUAACCAAGUGCGAAAGUAUAUGGGCUCUCAGCUGAUGCAAGCUCUCUCAAAUCAAUUUUCCUAAGUCUGUUUUCAACUUUCUGCAUGUCCUCAAGUUGCUUUUGAAGUUCUUGACCAACAAGAUC
RNAcentral lists this long non-coding RNA (337 nucleotides) under Helianthus annuus (common sunflower). Its description in RNAcentral is "sRNA HanXRQr2_Chr16g0761371". The record is from RNAcentral. Lineage: Eukaryota; Viridiplantae; Streptophyta; Magnoliopsida; Asterales; Asteraceae.